GACGAACGCUGGCGGCGUGCCUAAUACAUGCAAGUAGAACGCUGAAGGAGGAGCUUGCUCUUCUGGAUGAGUUGCGAACGGGUGAGUAACGCGUAGGUAACCUGCCUGGUAGCGGGGGAUAACUAUUGGAAACGAUAGCUAAUACCGCAUAAGAGUAGAUGUUGCAUGACAUUUGCUUAAAAGGUGCAAUUGCAUCACUACCAGAUGGACCUGCGUUGUAUUAGCUAGUUGGUGGGGUAACGGCUCACCAAGGCGACGAUACAUAGCCGACCUGGGAGGGGGAUCGGCCACACUGGGACUGGGACACGGCCCAGACUCCUACGGGAGGCAGCAGUAGGGAAUCUUCGGCAAUGGACGGAAGUCUGACCGAGCAACGCCGCGUGAGUGAAGAAGGUUUUCGGAUCGUAAAGCUCUGUUGUAAGAGAAGAACGAGUGUGAGAGUGGAAAGUUCACACUGUGACGGUAUCUUACCAGAAAGGGACGGCUAACUACGUG
Molecule: ribosomal RNA, 495 nt
Filed under: uncultured bacterium
Lineage: Bacteria
Description: partial 16S ribosomal RNA
Rfam family: Bacterial small subunit ribosomal RNA
Source: RNAcentral